GACGAACGCUGGCGGCGUGCCUAAUACAUGCAAGUAGAACGCACAGUUUAUACCGUAGCUUGCUACACCAUAAACUGUGAGUUGCGAACGGGUGAGUAACGCGUAGGUAACCUGCCUGGUAGCGGGGGAUAACUAUUGGAAACGAUAGCUAAUACCGCAUAAUAUUGUUUAUUGCAUGAUAAUUGAUUGAAAGCUGCUAUUGCAUCACUACCAGAUGGACCUGCGUUGUAUUAGCUAGUAGGUGAGGUAACGGCUCACCUAGGCGACGAUACAUAGCCGACCUGGGAGGGUGAACGACCAAACUGGGACUGAGACACGGCCCAGACUCCUACGGGAGGCAGCAGUAGGGGAUCAUCGGCAAUGGACGAAAGUCUGACCGAGCAACGCCGCGUGAGUGAAGAAGGUUUUCGGAUCGUAAAGCUCUGUUGUAAGAGAAGAACGGGUGUGAGGGUGGAAAGUUCACACUGUGACGGUAUCUUACGAGAAAGGGACGGCUAACUACGUG
RNAcentral lists this ribosomal RNA (505 nucleotides) under uncultured bacterium. RNAcentral's name for it is "partial 16S ribosomal RNA". It matches the Rfam family "Bacterial small subunit ribosomal RNA", at positions 28 to 507 of the family's 1533-position model. The record is from RNAcentral.